AUUGAACGCUGGCGGCAUGCCUUACACAUGCAAGUCGAACGGCAGCACGGGAGCAAUCCUGGUGGCGAGUGGCGAACGGGUGAGUAAUAUAUCGGAACGUGCCCAGUCGUGGGGAUAACGUAGCGAAAGCUACGCUAAUACCGCAUACGAUCUACGGAUGAAAGCGGGGGAUCGCAAGACCUCGCGCGAUUGGAGCGGCCGAUAUCAGAUUAGGUAGUUGGUGAGGUAAAGGCUCACCAAGCCGACGAUCUGUAGCUGGUCUGAGAGGACGACCAGCCACACUGGGACUGAGACACGGCCCAGACUCCUACGGGAGGCAGCAGUGGGGAAUUUUGGACAAUGGGCGCAAGCCUGAUCCAGCAAUGCCGCGUGCAGGAUGAAGGCCUUCGGUUGUAAC
RNAcentral lists this ribosomal RNA (397 nucleotides) under uncultured bacterium. Its description in RNAcentral is "bacterial SSU rRNA". It matches the Rfam family "Bacterial small subunit ribosomal RNA", at positions 30 to 429 of the family's 1533-position model. The record is from RNAcentral.